This 253-nucleotide ribosomal RNA is filed under the name uncultured bacterium. Its description in RNAcentral is "partial 16S ribosomal RNA". It matches the Rfam family "Bacterial small subunit ribosomal RNA", at positions 524 to 776 of the family's 1533-position model. The record is from RNAcentral.
UACAGAGGGUGCAAGCGUUAAUCGGAAUUACUGGGCGUAAAGCGUGCGCAGGCGGUUUUGUAAGCCAGAUGUGAAAUCCCCGGGCUUAACCUGGGAAUGGCAUUUGGGACUGCAAGGCUUGAGUGCGGCAGAGGAGACUGGAAUUCCUGGUGUAGCAGUGAAAUGCGUAGAUAUCAGGAGGAAUACCGAUGGCGAAGGCAGGUCUCUGGGCUGACACUGACGCUCAUGCACGAAAGCGUGGGGAGCAAACAGG